UCGGAUUAGCACUCUCUCUUUGUGACUCACAGUUGAUGUCUCAACAUAUAAGCUCUCAGCUACUGUUCCAACGCCAUGCCUGCCUGCCUGCUGCCAUGCUGCCUACCAUGAUGGGCACGGACUCACCCUCUGAAACCUGUUGGAUGGCACGAAUGGCCGAGGAAGCAUAUCAGAGCUUCCUGCUGUUCUUGGGUCUUCUCACGUGGCCUGUUGCUGCUUUGUUCUGGGACUGGACUAUCAGAAGCGAACACCGUCUUGAUGAAUGACUUUUAACUUACUUAAGACAAUCUCGCCAGCCUUCUCGGUGUGGAGAAUUCUUCCCUCACUACAGCCUUUGUACGCUGCGGGACUAGCAGAAUGAUCUACAGCCAACUGUUGCUGAGCACCAGACUGCAGAUGCAAUGUGACCAGCCUGCAGUGCUUCCUGUGCCAGGAUGGAGCAACCACAUCCUCAAACCGUGGGUCUAGAGCCUGCAGUGAUGAUGGGGUUGUUUCCCUGCCGGUGCUUGCUUCCUAUGAAAGCACACAGUAAAUCCUUUACUAGCUGCUGCAUUUGUGCCCGCCUCCUGUGGCACACGGCUAGUAGUAACCAUUUGUUUCCUUGC
RNAcentral lists this long non-coding RNA (605 nucleotides) under Mus pahari (shrew mouse). Its description in RNAcentral is "lncRNA (MGP_PahariEiJ_G0003304.1)". The record is from RNAcentral. Lineage: Eukaryota; Metazoa; Chordata; Mammalia; Rodentia; Muridae.